This 90-nucleotide microRNA precursor is filed under the name Canis lupus familiaris (dog). RNAcentral describes it as "mir-8799 microRNA precursor family". It matches the Rfam family "mir-8799 microRNA precursor family". The record is from Rfam by way of RNAcentral. Lineage: Eukaryota; Metazoa; Chordata; Mammalia; Carnivora; Canidae. RNAcentral also lists the same sequence under 1 other name.
GGGGGGAGGUCGGAUCCUGGGCUGUGUCCCAGCGCCCAGUGCUCCCAGGCCUGCGCUGUUGGAUUAGCCCUCUCGGCCGCGCAGCCCCCU